ACAUCCAGCGAACUUGGCAGAGAUGCCUUGGUGCCUUCGGGAACGCUGAGACAGGUGCUGCAUGGCUGUCGUCAGCUCGUGUUGUGAAAUGUUGGGUUAAGUCCCGNAACGAGCGCAACCCUUUAUCCUUUGUUGCCAGCGAUUCGGUCGGGAACUCAAAGGAGACUGCCGGUGAUAAACCGGAGGAAGGUGGGGAUGACGUCAAGUCAUCAUGGCCCUUACGAGUAGGGCUACACACGUGCUACAAUGGCGCAUACAAAGAGAAGCGACCUCGCGAGAGCAAGCGGACCUCAUAAAGUGCGUCGUAGUCCGGAUCGGAGUCUGCAACUCGACUCCGUGAAGUCGGAAUCGCUAGUAAUCGUGGAUCAGAAUGCCACGGUGAAUACGUUCCCGGGCCUUGUACACACCGCCCGUCACACCAUGGGAGUGGGUUGCAAAAGAAGUAGGUAGCUUAACCCUCGGGAGGGGCGCUUACCACUUUGUGAUUCAUGACUGGGGUGAAGUCGUAACAAGGUAGGCGUAGUGCU
This 527-nucleotide ribosomal RNA is filed under the name uncultured bacterium. RNAcentral's name for it is "bacterial SSU rRNA". It matches the Rfam family "Bacterial small subunit ribosomal RNA", at positions 984 to 1509 of the family's 1533-position model. The record is from RNAcentral.